This 497-nucleotide ribosomal RNA is filed under the name uncultured bacterium. RNAcentral's name for it is "partial 16S ribosomal RNA". It matches the Rfam family "Bacterial small subunit ribosomal RNA", at positions 28 to 507 of the family's 1533-position model. The record is from RNAcentral.
GACGAACGCUGGCGGCGUGCCUAAUACAUGCAAGUUGAGCGCUGAAGGUUGGUACUUGUACCAACUGGAUGAGCAGCGAACGGGUGAGUAACGCGUGGGGAAUCUGCCUUUGAGCGGGGGACAACAUUUGGAAACGAAUGCUAAUACCGCAUAAAAACUUUAAACACAAGUUUUAAGUUUGAAAGAUGCAAUUGCAUCACUCAAAGAUGAUCCCGCGUUGUAUUAGCUAGUUGGUGAGGUAAAGGCUCACCAAGGCGAUGAUACAUAGCCGACCUGAGAGGGUGAUCGGCCACAUUGGGACGGAGACACGGCCCAAACGCCUACGGGAGGCAGCAGUAGGGAAUCUUCGGCAAUGGACGAAAGUCUGACCGAGCAACGCCGCGGGAGUGAAGAAGGGUUUCGGAUCGUAAAACUCUGUUGGUAGAGAAGAACGUUGGUGAGAGUGGAAAGCUCAUCAAGUGACGGUAACUACCCAGAAAGGGACGGCUAACUACGUG